UGCCGUUUGUGUCCCUCACUGCAUCUUUUUUUCGUGUUACUGUGUGAACUAGACCUGCUCUGUCAGGGGGACAGUUUUGUUGUCGUCUAUUGACAUGAUAUGCUGAUGAUGCCCAAGACGACGCAGGUAACGUCUUUUUUUAUUUGCAUAGCUAUCACUGACCGUGAUAAACAACAGGAUUUACAUCCAUUUAUUCAAAUCCUCAAUGAAAAUAUGGAAAAAUGUCAGAUUAAGAUCUAAUCUGCGUCAUAUGCAAAAAUGAUAGAACCACAUAGACUGCAACCCCUACAGAGCUGCAGUAUUUUUAACGAUGGAAAAACACUAAAAAUAUAAAUCUAUUGUGAGUAUUUUUGGAAACUCGAUGGAAAAGUAAGAAGUAGCCACCUCUGGUCUAGAAAGUACUCCAAGUUUGACCCCAGAGUGAGGUAGGUCAGGAGGGGAGGAGGGAAGGAGAGCUGAGCUUAAAGGCAGAAGAAGGUAGAGAGCGGGUGUCAGGACGGAGCUCGAGGAGCAGUUAGAGAAAAUAAACAGAUGGGAGCUUUGAGGAUAUUCUAUCUGAAGCUUAGUCCUGUUGAGUAUAAAUAUGGUGGCGGCUAAGCCAUCUAAAUAGGCCUGUGUUUACCUGUCUGCACGGCCCAAAUUAAUCACCCAUGCCGCCACGAGCCGCCGAGGGGGGAGGGAGAGGAGGGGGAGAGGAGUAGGGAGGUGGGAGUUAGGAGUGUAAACACAGCUAAAAGCUACUGGUUGGCACCAUUUUGUUUUGGUUAGGAUACAGAGUGAGUGAUUAGGCUGCUUCAGUGUGAUGAAGGGGUGGCAGCAGUGAUGGAGGACCACUCAGUGUGAGUCUGUGGAAGUGGGUAUGUGUGUGUAUAAUCACUAUUUCGGAUUCCUGAAUUUGUUCCAAGAUUAUACUCAUAUCCAUGAGCAUUGGUUUACUGUAAGAACUUCACCAAACUCCAUUCAGUUUUUUCACACUUUUAACCUAAGUAGUUCUCUGCAGCUGUGGACAAAAAUCACACUGUCAUUAGUCGGACACUCGGUAAACUCGUCAACCAGCAGACAAUAGAAAUGUAUGUGCAAACCCCAGACUGUGAGUAUAUGCGUAUUUAUGAAUUAAUCACACAAACAUGGAUAGAAAACAAUGAUAAUUCUUGUUAACCAAACAACCAAAGUCACAAUAAUCUACACGUGUAUCAAUGAUUCUGGAGGUCUUUUUUCUGCAUUAGUAAAAAGUGCUUAAAAGUCACGGUACAUCAGGGGUUCACUUAGUAUCAGAGCAUACUGUAGUCACAGUUUAGAGGCAAUUAAAGGCAUAUUCCGGUGUAAAAUUUAGUUAAGGUCAAACACAAUAACACUGAAUUAGACACCCCGUUGAGAGAUGAUGCUUACUUCUCUAGUUAUACCAACGACUGCAUGAAGCAAUACAGAGAGCCACGCACUCAACCAAAACGCCACUCUAUAGCCACAAAUAAUGCCCAGAACAACACCUAACUUCAUCAACAGUACAUAGAUUCUCAGCCAUAGCACUAGCCACCAAACAUCUUUUUAACUUUUUUGAUUUCUUUAGCAAAGAGACUAAACACAACUCACACACUCUCUUCCAGCAGCUGCUUGUUUGUAGUGAGACCUCUGGCGAGUCCAUCCACUGCAGCGGGGUGACACAGCUCAAGGAAGAACAUUUAUGAUAAUUUCUUCAUGGAAAUGCAAUCAGACUGAGACGCUAAGGCAGAAGAACUACUGCAUCUGCAGUGCAAAAUGAUCAAUAGGUUGAUUAUUGCUUCAAGGAUAUGUUAAAGAACUGAUCAUAAAUGUUCUUCCUUGGCUCUCUGUGUAUUGCUAUUGUGCGGUCAUUACUAAAAUUGGUGUAACUAGAGAAGCAAGCGGUCGGCAACAUUCAUCUCUCUGCGGAGCGUCUAACUCAGUGUUACAGUGUGUUUGACCCUAACUUAAUUUUACGCCGGAAUAUCCCUUUAAGUAAAGACAACUUCGUAAAUCAUCUCUGUUGAGGAAUUAUGACUAAGGACCCUUUUUGAUAUGACCAAAGGCUUAUCCGUGGUAGCAUUAGCUUGUUGUUCCAAUAACAACUAUUAUACAUAACUUUUAAAUGAGUUGAUGAUCGUGGUUGGAGAUGACGCUCAACGCCUGAUUUUACAACGACAAUAAAAAUAUCUGUAAACUGAUCUAUGGGUCUAAAGUCUCGUUCUGGUAUGAUUUAGCACACAGACUUGUGUCUUCAUUGUGCCCCACCUCUGCUGAUAGAAUAAGGAGUCAGAUAAGAUGUGACACAGUGAAAGAAAAGGCCGGGAGGGGGUCAGAGCGUUUGUUCUGGAUUUUCCAUUAUGUGAUUUGGCAUGCUGAUGCCUUUCAUUUCAAUCAUUAGAAUUCAGCCGGGAUCAGGAGAGCUUUCAGGUGAAGCAGAGGAGCCGCGUUUGGAUUAGCGGUCCAUGUAACCGAAGCGGGAUAGACUCCAAACGAGGCUGAUUAUCAUACCAUUUCUCAUACCUGACGCGAUUAAUGCAGUUUUUUAACCUCUUCUCUUUAAAAUGGGGAGAUGGUUUAAUUUAAUAUAUGCUUGGUGUUUAAUCAUAAGCCAUGAAUUUUUUGGGGGGCCUAUGCAGGAUGAUAUUAGUGGUUUGAGAGCAGCGGAGGCCAUCGGGAAGGGGUUCAGCUCACAAAGUUUUGCAUAUUUCACCACCUCAGAACUUUUUUCCCCCUCAUGUUUAAGAGGAGGAUAGCGGUAAGACAUGGGGGGAAGCUUUAACUCCCAUAUUUAGUGAUAAGAGGGGGUGAAAACACAGGGGGAAUCUUAGCGAUACGAAAAAAUAAAAUCCACAGCUUUUUAAAAAUCUUAAAGGAUCAUUUUCGGUUUUUAAGGUGGAGAAAAGAAAACGGCCAUUAAAAAAAUCAUUAGAAAUCUUAGUGAGUACGAGUUGUGCUAGGAGCUGAUUUGAAACAGGUUUGAGGCAUUUGCUUGCUUAAAGCAAAGAGACACUCAGGAGUUCAAAGAUGUAAACUUAAGCAGACUGCAAGAAAGUUGUAGUGCGAAUAAGUCAUUGAUGGCACACGAAUAGGCAUGCUGGAUACACAUUCUAUCAAUCCCUUUAUUCCUCAUUAUAUCAUAAUUAUGCAUUGAAAAACAUAAGUGGUUUACCCAAAAGUACACAAACCUUGUGUUGCACAGGUUGAAAAGAGUCAGAGAUGUGUGGUGCGAGUCUUGAUGAAUUGGUCGUGGGCAGUGGGUACAAACCUCACAACCAUCAAUGACACGGUUGGCUCCUCUUAUCUAUCUACAGGUAGCUGGCAGAGUAGCAGCAGCAUGAUUUACAAGAGCUACACAAUGGCACAGAUACUGCACAUUGCUGAAUAGUGUUUAAACAUUUUACCCAUACACUGGAUAUCGAAUGGACGCUGUCUGCCUCCUCGCUGAAGCCACGACGAGAACGGCACCCUUUGGUGACAUAGCCAAUGGGCGUACGAAGACUGCCUUGCUAACUCGGGGAUACGCUGUUUCAAGCAGAGUGUCAUCACAUCGACUCUCCCGCCGAAUGCGUACAACGCUACUGCACAAGUGGUCGCUCCAAGAAGUGGAGAAAAACACAAAAAUACAGAGAGCGAUUCGGCUUCAAAUUUGUAUAAUGACAGAAGGCGGAGCCAAGUUGUCUGAAGUAUAUACAGUCUGUGGUUUUACCUUCUAUGAGCCCCUCCCCCAAAACAGAUUUGCUCUUAUACUAGAGUGACCAUACACCCUCUUUUACCUGGACAUGUCCUCUUUUUUAGGGGCUGUCCUGGUUUGUCAGGGGAAGUUUAAAAAAUGUCCUUCAAAUGUCUGCGGUUUUGUGCGGAAGAUCUGAGUUUGUGUCAUGUGGAUUUACUGAGUUAGAAGCUCAUAAAAGACACUUAAUCUGACCCGAAAAACUCAAAAUUAACUUUGUGCGACUCCAUGACUCCGCCCCUGCGUAGUCAUGUCCUCUUUUUGGGAAGUCAAAAUAUGGUCACUCUAUCUUAUACACCUGUGUGACAUUACAUCCUUCCUUCUUCCUUUCUUAUCUAAUUAGGUAUCUUAUGAGGGACAGGAAGUAGAAGGAAGCGUGUGUGUGGACGUACUCAACUAAUUUAGCCAAAUUCAUUCAGUCAUGUAUUUCAACUUCAUCAUGAUACUAUUGCACCUUUGGACACAAUUCUCCCAACUCAAAAUCAACAAGAACAUACACCUGGUUUACUGAAUUCAUGAAUAACAUGAAAGGAUCGGGUGCCUCUACUUUUUUGCGCCCUCUUUGCACAAACCAAACCUUCAACCUAGUUUUAAAGAAGCUUCAUCAUCUGCACUUCAAGCCUCAUAAAAUACAAGCGAGCCCCAGAAAUUUCUGCCUGGCUGCAAACUUUCCGGAUUCUGUGACUCUCAUGACGGCCUGAGCGGAGAAGAAUGGGCUGCUACAACACGCAGGGAGAAGUAAUGCCCUUUUUAGUCUUUGACAUGUUUGUCUUGGGCUAAUUCCUCUCCACACCACGACAGCCACGACCCGCCUGAGUCAAACGGCUCUGUCACACCUCUUUUCUCUAUCACUUCACUCUUCACAGGGAAAAAAAAAAAGGCCAAAGGGUUUUCCUUGGUUCCUGUAGUGUGAAAUGCAAACUGUCAUUAAAACGAGAGAGGGCGAGUGGAUGGGGCUUACAGGGGAGCCAUCAAUACAGAGAAAGCCUCUCCCCUCAUUGUGUCUCAAUAACUUUAAAAAGGAAACUAAUCCAUUCUGCUCUUAAUUGCAUGCCACGUCCCCCAAUGUGUCUCCCCCAUCAUUCUCGCACAAUGUGGAGGAGGCAAUAUUUAAACAGACUUCCCAAGAUUCCCAUUUCAAACGCUGUAAUGAGUUUUUCAAGAACAUAAUGGUCUAUAUUAUAUUCUACAUUUUUAGCAGGAGGAGGUGAGGAGCAGAAAAGAAGAAGCUCGCCCUGCAAAAAUGGGCUUGUCUUUUAAGGGUUGGGGGAGCUGGAAUAUAAAAGUUAAAGCGUGUGACAAUGUGUGUGUCAACAACGUGUGACAAGAGACAGUGCUCUGAGGAUUAAGGUCUAAUUUCUCCUGUUCUUUCAUUGAGAACUCCGCAAUCCAACAGAUUGAUUGGGACUUUUAAUUACACAGCGGUAAUUAUGGGGCCAGAUCUCGGCGUUUGAAAAGAAAGAAUUAAAGUUCAUUUUGCUUGGCUAAUUAUCAAACGCUGUCCGGAUAUGUGUGUGUGAGUGUGUGAGCAGGCAAAGCCCCUCGAUGCCAGUGGCGACACAGGACCCUGGAUCACAGAUACUCAGUAAUUAAGGCAAAAAGGUUACUUGGGCGAGAAAAGAUGAAGGAGAAAAAGCGAGGACUAAAAACACUUGUGAUAGGGGAAAAUCGGAUCCUGUCUUUCAUUCCUUUUGAUUCUAAUUCUGCCGGAUCUUGCGCCACUUUUCUGUCACUAUCAGCACUCGCAAAUUACAACAUUUCACAUUCAUCAGACUUACUCGCAAGAGACUGCAGAACAGUAGCUUGUCGGGUAAUUGGGUUGAUUUUUUUCCUCCUUCUUCUUUCCUCCUCCUCUCCGUCUUCAAUAAGUCCAGUCCGAUUUCUACCCUCCCUCUCCACACCCUCCCCUCCCUCGGCCUUCGUCCGGUCAAAUCUGCACUUGCUGACAUGCAGCACAGUAGCACUAUGCCUCUAAUUUUUACAUUACAUUGCAUUAGCUCCACCAGGUUUAAGGGGAAACCAAUACAGGAAUCAUUUUAUGGCGUAAAGCAGGAGCUGCGAUUUGGGCUCAGGAGUCAAUCUGGCGCCUGGUGAUGAUGGCGGUGGAGUUAGCGCGGGGUUGGCAGGCCUGAUUAGACCGUCUUAGGCUGGGGAGUCAUAUAUGUGCUAUUUCGCUGAUAGGCUGCGAAUCUGGAUUUCCUGCUCCAGUGCGCUCAUGGAGCUAAACCCAUCCAACCGAGGAGGCUAGGCAAAGUGGGGAAGGUGAUUUUUUUCCUCCCAUCUCUUUCCUGCCUGCACACACACACACACACAUGCACACACACUUGAGUGCCUAGAGUCACACACAUACAUGAACAUCAUCGCCUCGGCACUACCUCAUGAAAUCUAUUUGAAAAUGUCUGUGUGUGUGUGUGACAAAGAGCGAAAUGUAUUCAUUGAAGGAUUCGAGGGGAGAAAAAGAUCAAAUUUACUGGACUGAAGUGCAGGAUUCAUCAAAAAAAUACAUUUAAAUGUAUUUUUUGGGGAGAGAUGUUUCCAAAACUUGGUGUCCGAGCAUGAGCGGCAUAGUCGUCACCGUUUUCAGCAACCACUCUGUGUCCCUUUUCCUCUUCUUUCCUCCGUCUUUCUCUCUCUCUCUUUUCAGUCCGUCUGUCUUUCUAUCUGUCUGUCAUCCGAGCUUGCGUCAUCCGAGCUCGCCCACCUGUAUCCGCGACGCUGCGGCAGCCCCUUCAGAGCGUUUAGCACGGACACAAUUACGCAAUUGUGCGAGCAGACAAAUGCCGUGUAGGACAGUUGGGGAUGGUCGAGAUGGGGGUAACGCAAUCUUACCCCCCUAUUUUCCUCCUUCACCUGGCCUCCCCACGGUCCUCACCCUCAACACCCCUCCCUCCACACCUUCUGUCAUCCCAGGCUUGUCCAUCUCGGCCCAGGGAACAGUGGGGAAGCUGUGUGUGUCGGCUCUUCCCAACAAUUACCUUCAAUUACGGCUCACUGCAGUGUGGCCUCGUGAAAGGCUUUGCCAUUAGGAGUCUCUCUCUCUCUCUUUCUCUUUUUGCGCUGUCUCUCUCUCUCUCUCUCUUUCUGUCUCACCCUCUGCUUGCUCAAUUUUGGAGUCUGGCCAGGCUCCAGGUGAAAACGACCCAAAUAGCCCCCCGCUCACUUUACACGCCCCACAGCUCACUUUACGUUCGCCAGAAAACCUCACCGGCGGCACUCUGUUAAUUCACAUCUUUUACCCCGACGAUACUCCCUCCCUCCUUCCCUUCCCUCCCUCCACCUGGUCUCUUCUUCUUCUUCUCCUCCUUACCCCUCCUCCUGCCUCCUCUUCACAGUCCUCCUUUUUCUCAGAGUCCUCCUCCGCAGGGACCUGAUCCUGUUUGCAGUGGUUUUAGAGUUCAGGGGCAGCAGGGACAAAGGAUACCCUGAGAUGGGAAGCUCCCUGGAGGUUGACUGUAGAUAAAUAUACGACAAGUCUAAGGCUAGUGCUGAGUUCUAACCCUUUGAAUCCAGGAAUUAAAAUGAGUCUGCUGUUACCUACGGACGUAUUUUAA
RNAcentral lists this long non-coding RNA (7263 nucleotides) under Xyrichtys novacula (pearly razorfish). The record is from RNAcentral. Lineage: Eukaryota; Metazoa; Chordata; Actinopteri; Labriformes; Labridae.